RNAcentral lists this ribosomal RNA (323 nucleotides) under uncultured bacterium. RNAcentral's name for it is "bacterial SSU rRNA". It matches the Rfam family "Bacterial small subunit ribosomal RNA", at positions 337 to 659 of the family's 1533-position model. The record is from RNAcentral.
UCCUACGGGAGGCAGCAGUGAGGAAUAUUGGUCAAUGGGCGUAAGCCUGAACCAGCCAAGUCGCGUGAGGGAUGAAGGUUUAUGGAUCGUAAACCUCUUUUAUAAGGGAAUAAGUGCGGGACGUGUCCCGUUUUGUAUGUACCUUAUGAAUAAGGAUCGGCUAACUCCGUGCCAGCAGCCGCGGUAAUACGGAGGAUCCGAGCGUUAUCCGGAUUUAUUGGGUUUAAAGGGUGCGUAGGCGGCCUUUUAAGUCAGCGGUGAAAGUCUGUGGCUCAACCAUAGAAUUGCCGUUGAAACUGGGGGGCUUGAGUAUGUUUGAGGCA